AAACAUCAUCCCGCCGGGUUUCCGGUGACGAUGGACUUGGGUGUUGCCGUCCGGCUCGCCUCAAAAGCGUUAGUGGUUCCCGUCCGAAUCUGGCGUAAUAAGUUUCGCUGGCCCAGGAUCGAGAUCCGCUCAUAACCCGUCUAUGACAUCUUUUG
RNAcentral lists this unclassified non-coding RNA (155 nucleotides) under uncultured fungus. Its description in RNAcentral is "sequence contains ITS2". The record is from RNAcentral. Lineage: Eukaryota; Fungi.